RNAcentral lists this ribosomal RNA (252 nucleotides) under uncultured bacterium. RNAcentral's name for it is "partial 16S ribosomal RNA". It matches the Rfam family "Bacterial small subunit ribosomal RNA", at positions 524 to 776 of the family's 1533-position model. The record is from RNAcentral.
UACGUAGGUGGCAAGCGUUGUCCGGAAUUAUUGGGAGUAAAGCGCGCGCAGGCGGUUAUGUAAGUCUGAUGUUAAAGCCCGGGGCUCAACCUCGGUUCGCAUUGGAAACUGUGUAACUUGAGUGCAGAAGAGGAAAGUGGUACUCCACGUGUAGCGGUGAAAUGCGUAGGUAUGUGGAGGAACACCAGUGGCGAAGGCGACUUUCUGGUCUGUAACUGUCGCUGAGGCGCGAAAGCGUGGGGAGCAAACAGG